GUGAAUCAUCGAAUCUUUGAACGCAAAUUGCACUCUCUGGUAUUCCGGAGAGUAUGCCUGUUUGAGGGUCAGUUUAUAUAAAAAUCGGUGUGGUUGCUGCCUUUCGUGGUGACGCACCGGAUUGGGGUCGUCUUGCCUUCGGUUAAGCGACCUCAAAUUCUUCAUGUUUUUUUUCGAACGUAUUUAAACGAUUUUACUUACGUUUGUGAUAUGGAUUACUAGGUUUGGCCGUCCUCA
This 237-nucleotide unclassified non-coding RNA is filed under the name Glomeraceae sp. RNAcentral describes it as "partial contains 5.8S ribosomal RNA and internal transcribed spacer 2". The stretch from base 1 to 71 matches the Rfam family "5.8S ribosomal RNA", at positions 84 to 154 of the family's 154-position model. Lineage: Eukaryota; Fungi; Glomeromycota; Glomeromycetes; Glomerales; Glomeraceae. The record is from RNAcentral.